CCAGGGACCCCAAAAUUGGGCUCGAGGACCCUCCCCUCCCCCCUCCCCCCCAAUUUUGGGGCGAUUCCCCCAUUUUUGGGGAGGAGAUUUCCCCCAAUUUUUAUUUCGGGAGAAAUUCCCCCAUUUUUUUUUUUUUCCAGGGAAUUCCCCCAAUUUUGGGAAGAAAUCUCCCAUAUUUUUGGAAGGAAUUCCUCCAAUUUUUUUGGGAAGAAUUCCCCCAAUUUUUUUCAGGGAAUUCCCCCAAAUUUUUGCCAAGAAUUUUCCACAUUUUCAGAGAAAUUCCCCCGUAUUUUUGGGAAAAAAAUUCCCCAUUUUUUUGGGAAGAAUUCCCCCAUUUCUUCAGGAAAUUCCUCCCGAUUUUUGGGAAGAAUUUCCCCAUUUUUGAAAGAAUUCUCCGAUAUUUUUUUGGAAGAAUUUCCCCUAUUUUUUUUUGGGAAGAAUUCCCAGUUUUUUCAGGGAAUCUCCUCAUAUUUUUUGGAGGAAUUCUCCCAAAUUUUUGGGAAUAAUCCUCUCAUUUUCAGAGAAAUUCCCCCACAUUUUUGGGAAGAAUUCUCCCAUUUUCUGCAAAAUUCUCCCCUAUUUUUUGAAGGAAUUCCCCCACAUUUUUGGGAAGAAUUCUCCCAUUUUCAGAGAAAUUCCCCCCAAUUUUUUGAAAGAAUUCCCCCACAUUUUUGGGAAGAAUUCCCCCAAUUUUUUUGAAGGAAUUCCCCCAUUUUCGGAAGAAUUCUCCCAUAUUUUUUGAAAGAAUUUCCCCAUAUUUUUUAAGAUGAAUUCCCCCAUUUUCCAAGAAAUUCCCCCAAAUUUUUGAGAAGAAUUCCCCCAGUUUUUUUGGGAAUAAUUCCCCCAUUUUCAGAAGAAUUCUCCCAAUUUUUUGGGGGAAGAAUUUGCCCAUUUUUGGGUUGAAUUCCCCCAUUUUUGGAAGAAUUCCCCCAAUUUUUUUGGGGGAAUAAUUUGCCCAUUUUUGGGUGGAAUUCCCCCAUUUUUGGAAGAAUUCCCCCAAUUUUUUUGGGAAGAAUUUGCCCAUUUUUGGAAGAAUUCCCCCAAUAUUUUUGGGGAAGAAUUUGCCCAUUUUUGGGUGGAAUUCCCCCAUUUUCGGAAGAAUUCCCCCAAUUUUUUUGGGGAAGAAUUUGCCCAUUUUUGGGUUGAAUUCCCCCAUUUUUGGAAGAAUUCCCCCAAUUUUUUUGGGAAUAAUUUCCCCAUUUUUGGAAGAAUUCCUCCAAUAUUUUUGGGGAAGAAUUUGCCCAUUUUUGGGUUGAAUUCCCCCAUUUUUGGAAGAAUUCCCCCAAUUUUUUGGGAAGAAUUUGCCCAUUUUCAGNNNNNNNNNNNNNNNNNNNNCAAAAAAACUGGGGGAAUUCCCCCAAUUUUGGGAAGAAAUCUCCCAUAUUUUUGGAAGGAAUUCCUCCAAUUUUUUUGGGAAGAAUUCCCCCAAUUUUUUUCAGGGAAUUCCCCCAAAUUUUUGCCAAGAAUUUUCCACAUUUUCGGAGGAAUUCCCCCAAUUUUCAGAGAAAUUCUCCCGUAUUUUUUGAAGGAAUUCCCCCUAUUUUUUUUUGGGGAAGAAUUCCCAGUUUUUUCAGGGAAUCUCCUCAUAUUUUUUGGAGGAAUUCUCCCAAAUUUUUGGGAAUAAUCCUCUCAUUUUCAGAGAAAUUCCCCCACAUUUUUGGGAAGAAUUCCCCCAUUUUCUGCAAAAUUCUCCCCUAUUUUUUGAAGGAAUUCCCCCAAUUUUUUUGGGAAGAAUUCUCCCAUUUUCAGAGAAAUUCCCCCCAAUUUUUUGAAAGAAUUCCCCCACAUUUUUGGGAAGAAUUCCCCCAAUUUUCUUGGGGAAUAAUUCCCCCAUUUUUGGAAUAAUUCCUCCAAAUUUUCCCCCAAUUUUUUGGGGAAGAAUUCCCCCAUUUUCAGAAGAAUUCCCCCACAUUUCCCAAAGGAAUUCCCCCAUUCUUGGAAGAAUUCCUCCAAUUUUUUGGGGGGAAGAAUUUGCCCAUUUUUGGGUUGAAUUCCCCCAUUUUUGGAAGAAUUCCCCCAAUUUUUUGGGAAGAAUUUGCCCAUUUUCAGAAGAAUUCUCCCAAUUUUUUGGGGGAAGAAUUUGCCCAUUUUUGGGUUGAAUUCCCCCAUUUUCAGAAGAAUUCUCCCAAUUUUUUUGGGGAAGAAUUUGCCCAUUUUUGGGUUGAAUUCCCCCAAUUUUUUGGGAAUAAUUUCCCCAUUUUUGGAAGAAUUCCCCCAAUUUUUUUAGGAAGAAUUUGCCCAUUUUUGGGUUGAAUUCCCCCAUUUUCAGAAGAAUUCCCCCACAUUUCCCAAAGGAAUUCCCCCCUAUUUUCCAGGACCGUUUUUCCCGGGAACCCCCCCCCGUUUUUUGGGGCGAAUUCCCGCGUUUUUCGCUCAGUCCACGCGGACCAGCAGCCCGGCCAGCACGGUGGCCCCCGGCUCCUUGGUGACCCACUCCAGCUGGCCGGGGUCCAGCCCCUGGGGGGGCUCCAG
This 2472-nucleotide long non-coding RNA is filed under the name Cyanistes caeruleus (blue tit). Its description in RNAcentral is "lncRNA (ENSCCEG00000006660.1)". The record is from RNAcentral. Lineage: Eukaryota; Metazoa; Chordata; Aves; Passeriformes; Paridae.